UGAAGUUUGAAAACUUUAUUUUAAAAAAAAAGUUUGUGUAAAAUGUUGAACUUUUGCAUUUAUGAGCUCUUAUAAAAGUGAAAAAGAUUUAAUUUUUAACAACUUUUUAUGGGCUUAAAAUAUCUAUAAUUUCGCGGUGUUUCUUCUUUAUUUUUUUCCUUUCUACCCCUUUUAUUUUAUUUUAGUGAAGAUUUAUUCUUAAUAAUUCAGUUUUCUAUCCUAAGUUAACAGAACUGAACCAAAUAGUCUUGCUUUUUCUAAUAGAUCCAUUUUCAAAUCUUUAUUGUAUUGCCUAUGCUAGUGGAGAUGGUUUUAAUAUCUUGCAAUUACGGUUAUGCAAUGUUUUCGAUUUUAAUGAAAAUGCUAUCGCUCAUACUUUUUUAUUUAAUUCUUACUUUUUGACUUCCUACACUUGCUUACUUUUAUAAUACGAUACUUCCCUUUUUUAAGGCCGUGUUUUCCAUGUACUCCCAGUUAUUUUCCAUGUACUCCACAGUUUUUCAUGUACUCUUCAGUUUUCCGUGUACUCCCCAGUUUUUCAUGUACUCCCAGUUUUCCACGUACUCCCCAGUAUUUUAAGGACAAUUCUUUUUACAGUUUUCUCCAGGUUCAAAUCUUUUCCAUUGUUUUCCUUUCUCUUAGAAUUCCUUGUCUCUAACUAUAUAUAUUGUAGUGUAUAGUGUUUAGUGCUCCCUAAUUUUAUAUUAUGUUUAUAAAUAAAUUGUGUAAACUUA
Long non-coding RNA from Eurytemora carolleeae, 734 nucleotides. RefSeq lists it as uncharacterized. NCBI's taxonomy places the organism in Eukaryota, Metazoa, Arthropoda, Copepoda, Calanoida, Temoridae. The record is from RefSeq and is a predicted model, not a curated record. The transcript has 2 exons.